CAGGUAGUGACUUUCCUCCAGGAGAAAAUCUUGAGGAUGUGAGAGCCCAAAAAGACAAGUUGGGAAACCUGUGAUCCUUCCCUGCCUUUAGAUAGAAACUGGGCGUGCAUGGGAAGAGACUGGCAGUGGGUAUUCUGAUGUUCGUACUGACAAAGUUCCCUGUUUGCUACGGAGCUGGCCAAAGUAAGGAAGGAUUUUGGUGACACCCUUAGGAAAUCAGUAUGUGUGGAAAGUGCCAUUAACAGAGGGAGGUAAGAUCUUGCUGACUGAAAAGGAAUCAGAGGGUUAUUGGGGACCUGGAAUAUUUUUCACCAUGGGCAACCACUGCCAGUGGUCCCUUACUCCAAGAGCUGCUUAUUGGGAUGAUUACUCCCCAGGACAACUGCUGUUGAUUGAUUUGCCCCACUGUGGUCCUGUCCCUUUAACCCUCAGGGAGACUCUUCACAAAUAGUUGUGGAAGCCUCAAGAUGAUCAGGAGGAACUGUACAAAAUUAACCAUCUGGAUUUCACCUCCCUUCUAACUUUGGUUCAUUUAGGACCAGGAAGUCUUAUUUUUGUUUUGUUUUCUUUUCCAGUUUUGCUUCUUAUAACCUUGGUUUCUUUGGAACCAGGAAGUUCUCUCUUGUUUUCCAGAUGCCAACGAAUGCUGAUACUGUUGCUGUAGUUCACAUGUUCCCUUCUCACUCUGCUCCUUUGUCUGGGAUCCCUGUGGUAUCAUUGGUGUUACUGCUUUGGACAGGAAUCUUCUUCAGAUUAAUUUUUGUAAUUGCUUAUGAUGACCUUAACACAGUCACUGGCUGGUCACGGUCCCAUGCCCAUAUUGGCAGUACUGGGCAUCUAGCUAGUUUUACUUAUGAUCCUGUCACUAACUCUCCUGCAGCUUUUGUCCUAAUACACAAUGCUUCAGUACAUACCAUACACCUAAUCAUUGUGCUGGGACUGAAUCACAAUGGAGUUUUUUUGUUUAUUUUUUUCCCUGCAGAGGAGAAAGAAUCACAAAUGCUUGUGGAGAAAAAAGACUCAGGGAUUUCUUCUUCUUUCUUGCUAGCAGAUCUUGAUGCUCUCCUCUUCCUGCCAGUGGGCUGCGUGUCAUGCCAUAGUCCUGCAGUCUCCAGAAGUGACCCCACAUGCUACCAAAACAGAUCACAGACCUGGAUUCAGGCAUUCUUCAUUCUCCCACUGCACGAGCUGUCAUGGAGCAACGUGCUCCUCAAACGUAGUCAUUUUGUGAGGUUACACAGUGUUUGUGUACUUAUGUAGGAAUGGAAUGUUGUUUCUGCAUUAGAACUAAAACGUGAGUAUUUUACGUCAUUGUCUCUGCUCCAGUCUUGUGUUGUUUGUUUACUACUACUAAUUACUACUUAGUACUACUAAGUACUAACAGCUCUUUUUGGGAGUGUUUUUAUUUCAUCAGGAGUCUCUGAGGGUCUCCUUCACUUGCCUGUUUGAUGAAUUUUCCACAUUGGUGCUUGCUCAGUGGGUAGAUGGAGUAAUGAAUGUAUGGGUACAAGGACUGCUGCUGUUAUCUGUCCAGCCAUCUGGAAUACCUCUGAGCCUUGAGUUCCAGACAACAUAGACAUUGCGCUCCUAAACAUUACGAUAAUGCCUUUAGAAAUCCAAAACCCUUGACAAUGAUAUCAGUAGGCUCAUUAUGUUGCAAGACUACUGAUUUUUGAUGCUGGUCAGACAGGACCUCAGUGAUGAUAGAAAAUUUAAGGAGGAGAAUGUAAGCCAUUAGCAAUAGAUAAACAUUUAGCUAGCAACAGUUUCUAUUUAGCCAGUAUGCCCAUGUACAGUUAAGCAUCGGGAAGGUCUGUGAACCUGAAAUACUCAGGCAAUGAGGAAUCAGGGGAAAAGGUGAGCAUCAAGGUAAUAGGGCAUGUUCUUUGCUCUGUAAUAGGGUUUUGUUUGCUUUUCAUUCAGUAUCAUUUCUUACCAUUACGCAGCGUUUGUCUUGUCUUGUUUUUCAUGUUGCCAAUCAACAUUUAGUUGGAGCUUGGGUGACCCAAAUGCAUACAACUAAGUGUUGACCAAGUGUGAUGUGAAAUGAAGAGGUAGGCUCCAAAACAGGCUUCUAGUGAGUGCUGUGUACGACAUGGAGUAUCGAGAACUACCUCUGUUUCUCCCUGCCCCAUGUUGUUCAGUACCAGACGUGAAGGUUUCUUCUUUCCUUCUAGGGUUGGAGACUCCACUAUCAGAUGGCAUUGGCCUUUCAAGCCUCCCCGGGUUGUAGCGCUGGUUGUGCCCUGAUCCUUGGAAAGGGGAACUGAUUCCUUCAUCAUUACCUGAUGGUGACGUCUACUUAUCUUGUGUCCAGUGAGUGGUGGGGGAAAAACUGCGGCUCUCCCGAGUGGUGCAAGGACUCUACUGAGGCUCAUUGUGUUUAUAGUAGAAAACUACAGCCAUAGAUGGAUGCCAAUAUCCACUCCUUACUCUGUCUGGCAAGCUGUGUUGAUCUCUGAAGUUGCUCCCACACUUGUAGAAGUUCUUCGGGCUCAGCAUCAGUUGUCUCUUGCACUCACAUGGCUUUCACCAGUUGGAGCUACAGUGAGCCCAAAUGGUGACUGCUCUGCUUUGACCAAGUGAGAUGCAAAAAGAAGAGGCCCAGAAGAUGGGAACAAAGGAGUUUCUGCUGAGAUCCCAGAGCCAGAAGCUGCCGCUCCAAGGAGAGCUGACUCAACCACACUGGAUUUGAGCUGUCACUCCAAAGACAGCUGACUCCGCUCCAAGGAGAGCUGACUCAACCACAUUGGAUUUGAGCUGUCACUCCAAAGACAGCUGACUCGACCACUUUGAAACUAUUGAAAAGGGGCCGUCAUCGCCAUGGUCAUGGCCGUCGUUCUCAUCAUUCUCCUUGUCGUCAACAGAACAAUGCCUGACGACCCACCACUACUGAAGAUCAGACUGAACUACAAACCACGCUAGAUCCAUGGUGGUGACUGUCUCCCUCUUGCUUCCUAUAAAGACUCCUUGCUUCUUCUUCUCUAUCUUUUCUAUCUUUCCUAUCGCCCUCCUUCCCUUCCCCAUUACCCUAAUUCGUAACAGCCUCCGUCCUCCCCUUCCCCAUUUCCC
Long non-coding RNA from Lagopus muta (rock ptarmigan), 3072 nucleotides. RefSeq lists it as uncharacterized. NCBI's taxonomy places the organism in Eukaryota, Metazoa, Chordata, Aves, Galliformes, Phasianidae. The transcript has 3 exons. The record is from RefSeq and is a predicted model, not a curated record.